CAGCGCGUCGGCACCUUGGCUCUAGACUGCUUACUGCUGAGCACGGCGACCGGAACAGUAACAGUCUACAGUCAUGGCUACUGAAGCAUGACA
RNAcentral lists this microRNA precursor (93 nucleotides) under Alligator mississippiensis (American alligator). RNAcentral describes it as "microRNA ami-mir-212 precursor". Its record names the gene ami-mir-212. It matches the Rfam family "mir-132 microRNA precursor family". Lineage: Eukaryota; Metazoa; Chordata; Crocodylia; Alligatoridae. The record is from miRBase by way of RNAcentral.